This 72-nucleotide transfer RNA is filed under the name Camelus bactrianus (Bactrian camel). It matches the Rfam family "tRNA". Rfam says of the family: Transfer RNA (tRNA) molecules are approximately 80 nucleotides in length. Their secondary structure includes four short double-helical elements and three loops (D, anti-codon, and T loops). The record is from Rfam by way of RNAcentral. RNAcentral also lists the same sequence under 2 other names. Lineage: Eukaryota; Metazoa; Chordata; Mammalia; Artiodactyla; Camelidae.
GAGGGUAUAGCUCAAGUGGUAGAGCACAUGCUUAGCAGCACAAGGUCCUGGGUUCAAUCCCCAGUACCUCCU